GAAGCAAAGCACAGGGGAUAGAGAUGCUACAGUUCCUACCUAGGGCACAGGCUUUCGAGCUAUGCAUGUGAGGGACUUCUCUCUGAACCUGUGUCCUCACCUGUUUGUCCUACGUCUUAGAGCUUCUGAGGAGCUUCAGUGGAGAUAGUGGAUGCAAAGCCUGCAGAAGAACUCCUGGAAGGUGACACGCGUUUCAUAAAUGUUGAUGAUUGCUCCUUUUGGUUGUGUGGAUCGAAAUUACAUUUCUCCAUAUACUAGGUGAUCUUAGGAAAGAUAACCUAAGUCUGGAUUUCUUCAUCUGUAAAAUGGCAUAAGGAAAAGCCCUACCUAAUAGGAUGCAGUUAGGAUCAAAUGAACUGAAAGAUACAAAGCUCCAGGCCUCUGCCCGGCACCAGCCUGUGCCCAGGCUGCAGCAGCUCAUCUGUUCAUUCCUCCAGAGUUAAUCACAGGAAUGAGAGUAUGAAAAAGUUAUUGGCCAAAGUGGACAAGUCAUGCUGUUAUUCUAGUCUAAAGAUCCUGGAGAGACCUAGAGAAGAAAAAAUGGCAUAUUGCUUCUGUGCAGAUGAUGUGUACCUAAAGAGAGCCCUGAGGGGGCUAUUAUAAACAGGUGGAUAACCCCCCACCUUGUUUUUCUCAUUCAUUUAAGUAUGUGUCCUGUUAUUUCUGUUUAGCAGCCAGUUAAUCCUGCUGUGUUUUUGCUUAGACUAAUAUCAAAGUUAGUUUGCAUUUCCUGAGACAGCCCAGAGAUUGAGGUAAGAUAAGACGUGGAGGAAGCAGUUGAUUCACUGUUAAAUGUGGCAACGGAAUAACUGCAAGACCAACAAACUGGAAACAGAGAUCAGGAGGAAAUUCAGUCUAUCAAGUGGAACACUACUGGAUUAUUUUCUCUUCAUGGAGAAGCACUUCUUUUAGGUAUGACACCCCCCAGACCUUUUGUAUUUCUAACUCCAUCUCAGCAUCUGCUUCCCCAAAAACUCAACUGGUAACACUUGAUACCAAGAAUGGUCUGAAAAAGCAGGUGAUAAGAAAAGGCUUUCAGUCUGGCUCAUUCACCACUCAUCCGGUGGUAAGGACCCUAUCCCUGGUGAAGUACAGACAACCCUUGGCAUACGAUGAGGUCCAGCUGUUAAAACUCUCAUCAUGGUGGACUGGGAUGGCACGUGGCAGAGAGAAGAACACUGGUUCAAGCAUUUGAAAUGUAUAGGGGGACUUAUAAGUAUGAGGAUAAUGUAAUGUGUUGAUUAUUACUAAAUUGUAUUAAAAGGAGGGUAAUUAAUGAAAAGCUGAGAGCAGCUACAAAUAAUGGAAACUAAAUAUGAAAGGAGUCUUUACACUUUAUCUUUCUCACUAGAGGUAAGCAGAAAAAGUUUAAGAUAAGGCACAUGAUUUAAUGAAGUUACUGAACUUUAAAGACAAUUGAGUUUUCAACCAAAGCAGGGGUGUAAUGCCAAAGUCAGGUCCUACUUGUCAAAACCUGGGACCAUGACACUUGGAGUUGGAGUGUUUGAAUGGAUGUUCCUAGUCUCCUCUGAACCUACUGAACCUAUAGUGUGGCUCACCCCUUUCAGUUAAGACCUAGCACAUUCCUGUGCAGGAAGAUCAUACAAGGAAGUUUCCCCCAAAAGGCAACAGGUGACUCCCUCCUCCUCUCCUAGAUGUCAGGCCUAAACCUAAGACAGUCAGCAAUAAUCUGGGCCUGGUUAGGGAAAAAAGUGACCAUAACUUAAAGGAACUACAAGAUGGCAUCGGGGUGUGCUAGCAGAGAUCAAGAUGUACCAUCAAGAAGGGAAGAACUUAAGUGUCUAGUUAAAUUUGCAUUGCAGAAGUUUUUUGUGUCAAGCAUACUACCAUUGCUGGAGCUGAUUAAUAUGGUCUCAGGUAUGUGGUAUGCAACUUCAAAUUGGUAAUGAAAGCUUUUUCCAAUUCCAAAGAGUAAAGGCCAUCAGAAGCUCUUCAUAUUCAAAUAGAAUGGGCAAUAUUAUUGACCUGGGGACCUCCAUAUUCCUUGGACCAAAUGUGACUGUGAAUGGACAAAUAUGGCAACCCUAGCCUAAGAAAGGCAUAACAACUAUGCACUCAGAGUUGGGGUCUCAGCACUGCAUAGACCACUAAGAGUAGCAAAUAUGGUAUCUUAGAGCAAGGAGAAUUUAGAAUGGAUCACAGGAGAGGAGAUUAUGAAUAUCUGUUGUAGCUCCAAGAUCUACAGCACCAGUGGGGGGGUGGUGUUAGUUUUUCCCACUAACCUCCCUCUUCUAAGUUUCCCCUUAGGAAUGAAGACCCACCAGAGCCUUGGAAAGAGGCUCCUUACACAGUCUAAGGGGUAGACUGUGUCAGAUAGAGAUGUGCUACUCAGAUCCCCCUUUAAGAAAAAACUCAUUGCCUGACUAUGAGGAGUGUCAUUCAUUGCAACCUUUGAUUGUUACCUUCCUUUUUUUAAACAAACAAACAAAAAAAAACAAAACCCUUUAUUUUAUUUAUUUAAAUUUUUUUUUAUGUGAUGCUGAGGAUCAAACCCAGUGCCUCCCAUGUACUAGGCAAGCGCUCUACCUCUGAGCCACAACCCCCGCCCUUGUUAUCUCCUUUAAGGUCAACCUCAGCCUCCCAGUCAAGGUCAUUCUCUUCUCAGAGCAGCCCUUGGCCCAGAACAGAGUGAAAAGGGCUGGCCAUUUCCGAACAACACAGAAUUGCCCUAGUGGGUCAUGUACUCCAAAGGUCCCUGUUGACUGGCAAAGACUCUCAGAUCAGCAUCAUGGUCUGACAGCCCUUCCUGGCUUCCUUCCUCUACUGGGCUGAAUGGAAUGUCAACUUCCCCCAUGAGAAAAGAUAUGUGCACAUCUCCUCCUUUCUGGAACCUGUUUAUAUUACCAUAUUUUUUAAAAGGAGUCUCCUUUGCAGAUGUAAGUUAUAGAUCCAAGAUGAGGGGAUCAUCCUAAAUUAUCUGACUUGGCUCUAACUGUAAUCACAUGUAUUCUUAAGAGACAGGCAGAGGAUAGAGACACAGAGAAGAGCAAGCAGUCAUGUGACUACAGGAGCAGAGGUGGAGUAACACAGUAGCAAGCCACCAAGGAAUGCCUGGAGCCCCCAGAAGCCGAAAGGCAAGGAUCAGAGUCCACUGGAGCCUUCAGAAAGAUUGCAACCCUGCCAAAACCAUGAUUUUGGACUUACAACCUGCAAAACUAUCACAGAACAUUUUUCUGCUGUUUCGAGCCACCAAAUGUGUGGUGAUUUAUCACCUUCACAGAUGACCCUCCUCAGUCUCUGCAGCUGCUUCUUGAAGCAGUGCAACCUGCAAGAGUGUGAUAGGAUAGUGUGAAAUGGUAUGACUGGAAGGGCAUGUAGGAAGGGCACCUAGACCGGUCCAGGGGCAGAGGAGGGACUAGUGGGACAGGCAGGAGGACAAUCCAGAGGAAGAGACAUCAAGCAGCCCAAAGGACGGUGGGAGCCAGCCAAAUCAAGAGACACUAAAGAGAAAGCAUAUCACACUGGAGGAACUACAACUACUCAGGAUGAGAGAAAGGAGUAGUUGUGGGAGGUAAGUGCGGGGAGAGAAGUGAGGUCAGAUCCAACUGGGCUUUGUAAGUGAUCUUAAGUCUUUGUAUUAAAUCUGAAAAGGAUUUUAAACAGCAGGAGCCCUGGCCAGCACUUCGCUAAGAAAGACGAAUUCAUUCAGCUUAAGAGAAAUGUAAGGAUACUACUGUUCCUGAGAAAGAUACCACUAUAAAACCUUCUCAGUAAUUGAUGGCUUCGUGUGAACAGCUGCAUCCCAUCCCAUUCCACCAAUGUUUUUGCUGGGGACAUGGAGACAUUAUGAUGGCCUCAGGCAGCUUUCUCUUCAGAGUUUGAUAAGGAUUAUUUACAAUCUUUUCUCAACUUCAUAUAAAGUGUAAUGCAAAAACAACUUCAAGUCUUACCUUCCACCAUCAACCCCAAAUCCCUUCUACCUACAGAUUCUGGGGCUGCCUUUGGCCAUGGGCUUUAGGACAAGGAGUAUUUUCAAUCUAGGGAAGAGCAGAAAAAUGGCACAACGAUCUACAACCUUACGUUACUCUGCAGGGACAGACCAGGAACUGGAUGGGGUUGUUAUCUCUUCAGAAGCAGCUGUGGGAUGUAACCAGGGAGAGAUGGCAGCCCCACCACACUCUAGGAAGGCCCGGCCUACACAGGAAAUUGUUAUCUUACCUCCCUUUGGGAACAAAGGGGAAGCGUUGUUUGAUGCAGACUUCAAAACAGAGUGGCCUUAGGGGCACAUCUGGUGUAUUUUCUUUGGUCCUCCAGAGCUGUUGUUGUAUUUAAUUGAACCAAUAUUCAAAUAUUAGAGGAGUUCCCAUGACAGUUCAGACUGCCAGUGUCUCUUGUCGAUUCACGCUCCUUCCUGUAGGGAUCAGAGCUCAGCGGUGACCACCCCUUCAUGUGUAUAAGUGGGCUCCCUUCUACGCUGGGACCCAUUCAACUGAAUUCUCCUCAUCACAGAAACCAAGUGCUUUGUUUUCCUAACGAAGGCCUGAGAAAUACUUAUCUGUAUCCACAUUCCCACCAAAAGUGGGGAAGUGAGUGUUACAUAGAGAGGAUCAGAAUUUCUGCAUGAAGGGGAAGAUACUAUCAUAUUUCACCUCUGACGCCAGUCAGCUCAUUUGAUUCAUUUACAUGUCUGAUUUUGGAACCCUUUUCUUAAAGGUUACAGGGCCUCAGUCCCUCAGCUGUCCUAGUACAGUUUCUUUCUUCUACCUGUGGCAUCUCUUGCCAAUUCUUCCAGAUUAAGCCUCCCUCCAGGUCUUGGUUUUGAGCAACUAAGCUUCACCCUAGGCUGGAACCACAGCAGCAGGGACCAUUCCUGGGAACCUAGGGGAACUGCAGAGAGAACUUCAGCAGAAAGGCUCUGAACAGAAAGAAGAUUGUAUGAUUUCUUUCCAGGUGCCUCUCUCUUUUUCUCCUCUAACUGGUUAACACACCCACAUACCCAGUGAUGCCAGGCCUCACUCUUGAGGGCAUCAAGAAAUGGAAUUUGAGCUAGGCAGGGUGGCGCAUGUCUGUGAUCUCAGCAGCUCAGAAGGAUCACAAGUUCAAAGCCAACCUCAGCAAAAUGAAG
This is a long non-coding RNA of Sciurus carolinensis (gray squirrel), 5086 nucleotides long. RefSeq lists it as uncharacterized. Lineage: Eukaryota; Metazoa; Chordata; Mammalia; Rodentia; Sciuridae. The transcript is spliced from 3 exons. The record is from RefSeq and is a predicted model, not a curated record.